This 29-nucleotide non-coding RNA is filed under the name Rattus norvegicus (Norway rat). The record is from RNAcentral. Lineage: Eukaryota; Metazoa; Chordata; Mammalia; Rodentia; Muridae.
UAGAUGUGCAGCCUUCUGUGACAUUAGGA